GAUGUAGCUCAGUGGUAGAGUGUUUGCCUAGCAUACACAAGGCCCUGUGUUUGAUUCCCAAAACCA
RNAcentral lists this transfer RNA (66 nucleotides) under Marmota monax (woodchuck). RNAcentral describes it as "tRNA.Ala". The record is from RNAcentral. Lineage: Eukaryota; Metazoa; Chordata; Mammalia; Rodentia; Sciuridae.